Long non-coding RNA from Cebus imitator (Panamanian white-faced capuchin), 3381 nucleotides. RefSeq lists it as uncharacterized. The transcript is spliced from 3 exons. The record is from RefSeq and is a predicted model, not a curated record. NCBI's taxonomy places the organism in Eukaryota, Metazoa, Chordata, Mammalia, Primates, Cebidae.
UUCACUGUGUUGGCCAGGCUGGUCUCAAACCCCUGACCUCAGGUGAUCCACCUGCCUGGGCCUCCCAAAGUGCUGGGAUUGCAGGCAUGAGCUACUGUGCCCGGCCCCCUCCUUGACUUCUUCCCCAGCACCCUUCUGUCUCCUCUGUAGAUUGCAGCUGCCCUUGUGGCCUUAAAAGUACGGGGUGAAUCUGUUCCCGUCACACCUGCCAGCACAGCCUCCAUUGCUUCACUCAGAGUGAAAGCUCAUCUCCCUGCCUCGCAUGAGGCCCUGUGUGAUGGGGUCACUCUGCCUUCCCCACCUUCUUUCCUGCUGGCCCCUUCUUGCUUUCUCAGCUGUGGCCACACUGGCCUUUGCUGUUCCUCACAUGGGUCAAGCUCAGUUCCCACCUCAGGGCCUUUGCAUGUUGCUAUUGCCCUUUCCUGGAUCAUUUUCCCAGAUAUCUUCCUGGCUCUCCUUCAUUUGCUGAGAUACUGCCUUAUCGGAAAGGCGCUCCCUGUCGGACUUAUGUAAAGUGGUGCCCCUGGUGUCAUGCCUGUACUCUGUCCCCCUGGUGUCAUGCCUGUACUCUGUCCCCCAUACUUCAGCUUUCCUUUUCUCCAUAGAACUUAGCCCCUCUGGACAGAGCAUGAGUACAUGCUUCAUUCAUUGCAUGUCUAGUUUCUGUCCCACCACACCAGAGUGUAGGCACCACAAAGCCAAGAACUUUAUUCAGCGUAAUGCUGUAUUCCCAGGGCAGAAAGCAUGGCCCGGCACCUAACAGGUACUUACCAGGUCUUUGUCAUAUAAACGAAAGGGAACGACUGAGUCCCCAUAUACAUUUGAUCCAUGAAAAACACGGGUUUGAACUACACGGACCCGCCUCUGUGCAGAAGUUUUUCGGUAAACAUAUUGAGAAAGUUUUUUGGAGAUUUGCAACAAUUUGAGAAAACUUGCAGAUGAAUUGUGCAGCCUGGGAAUAGUGAAAAAAAUUAAGAAAUUUAGGUAUGUCAGAAAUACAUAGAAUGUACGUCGAUGCUAGUCUAUGUAUUGAUUGACUGUUUAUGUUAUUGGUGAGGCUUCCAGUUAUCACUAUUAGUAGUUACGUUUUUGGGUAGUCAAAAUACAUAGUCAGAGAUUUUACCAUGUGUGUUGGGGCGGAGGGCGACCCCAGUCCCCUGUGUUAUUCAAGGAUCAACUGUACUUCAUUUUGAAUUCGUCUGCUAUGUGUCUGGAUCCCACACGCACUCAGCAUUUCCCCAUUUGAUGUCGUGGAGCAAAGAUGAGCGUUGGAUUUCAGCAGCCCUGGGCUUGAAUGCCGGCUCCUCCAUUUCCCAAGCGGUUAGUGCUGGACAAGUGAGCUUCCUGUCUGAUGCUUCAUUUCUUCACUUGCAGAAUGGAGAGCACAUGCCUCACAUUGCAGGCUGUUGGAAGAAUGGAGGUUUGGGUGCUCAGGAUUUAUUAGCUCUUAUACUGCCUGAAUUCAGUGUUAGGCAAACAGAGAAAAGCCUUUUAAAAAAUAGCUUUACUGAGGUAUAAUUCAUAGACCAUAAAAUUUGCCCCAGUGAAAUUGAAACGAGAGUGAGAUACCACCUUACAUCUGCAAGCAUGGUCAUAAUUAAAAAGUCAAAAAACAAUAAAUGUUGGCUUGGAUGUGGUGAGAAGGAGGUGCUUUCCUACUGCCGGUGAGGAUGUAACUUAGCAUAGCUACUAUGGAAAACAGCAUUGAGAUUCCGUAAAGAACUAAAAGAACUACCUUUUGAUCCGGCAAUCUCACUACUGGGUAUCUACCCAAAGGAAAAGAAGUCAUAUGAAAAAGACACAAGCACACAAACGUUUACAGCUGCACAAUUCACAGCUGCAACGAUGUGGGCGCUAAGUCCCACUCAACCAAGAAGUGGAUAAAGAAAAUGUGGCAUAUAUACGCCGUGGAAUACUGUUAAGCCAUAACAAAAAAUAAAAAAAGAAAAGAAAUGAUGUCUUUUGCGGCAACUUGGAUGGAGCUGGAGCCCGAUAGUCUAAGAGAAGUAGCUCAGGAAUGGAAAACCAAAUACUACAUGUUCUCAUUUAUAAGUAGAAGGGAGCUAAACUAUGAGGACACAAAGGCAUAGAGAGAUAUAAUGGACCCUGGGGACUUGGGGGUGGGGGAGGCUGGGAGAGGGAUGAGGGAAUGAGGAAUAAAGGACAACAUAUUGGAUGCAAUAAUCUCAGAAUUCACCACUAAAGAACUCAUCCAUGUAACGAAAAACCACUGGUACCCCAAAAACGAUUGAAAUCUUAAAGAAAAUUAAAUUAUACAAAGUAUACACAGGUCAGUUGUUUAGUGUAUUCAUAGAGUUGUGCAACUAUUAGCACCUUUCAAUUUGAAAACAUUUUCGUCACCCCUGAAAUGGAACGUCUUUCUCAUGAGCAGUCACUUCCAUUAUGCCCUCCCUGCCAGGUGCUGCCAAACACUAAUUUACUUUCUGUGUCUGUUCGAUUUGCGCAUUCUUGACAUUUCACGUAAACAGAAUCAUACACUAUGUGGCCUUAUGUGACUGCCUUGUUUCACCACCAUGACGUUGGAAAGGUCCAUCCAUGUUGUAAUGGGUAUGGAGACACCAUAUUUUGUUCAUUCCUCUGUUGAUGGAUAUCUGGGUUUUCACUCUUUCCCUAUGAAGGAUAAUUCUGCUGUGAAGGUUUGUAUACACAUUUGGUGUAAACGAGAAAGCCUCUUACUGGAUUCCUCCAAGGAAUCCAACAAGGAUUGGAUGUAUUGAAGUCCUCCAAGCCAGAUCCAGGACGCCUUCUCUGUGUGGUGCUGCAGAUCAUCCUGUAGCUCCUAAACUUGCUUCUUUCAAAUGAAGAACGUAUUCUGAGAGAGCUAGUUCACUCCAGCACGCAUCCUUUGGAUACGGCAUCAAUGUAUUAUUUUCUCACUAUUUCAUAUGACUAGCCGGUUAUUCACUUGAUUUUGCUACCUGCAAUAGCCCAUCUUAGCUCAUCCUAUAGGUAAUCUCAUAUGCAAAAUGCUUGGGAUGAGAAGUGUUUCUGAUUUUGGAUUUUUUCAGAUUUUAGAAUAUUUGCAUUAUAUAUACACACUCACCUGCCGGUUGAACACCUGAAAUCCAAAAAUCCAAGAUCUGAAAUGCCCCAGUGAGCUUUUCCUUUGAUUGUCAUUCAGAUUUUGGAGCAUUUCAGAUUUUGGAUUUUUGGAUGAGUGAUGCUCAACCUGUACCUUGAAUAAUGAGAAUUUACUAUAUAAAGGGCUGAGGGAAAGGAUUUUUUCCCCCUAGAGACAGAGUCAGUUCUGUCACCAGGCUGGAGUGCAGUGGCACAAUCUUGGCUCACUGCUGUCUCCGCCUCCCAAGUUCAAGUGAUUCUCCUGCCUCAGCCUCCUGAGUAGCUGGAAUUACAGACGUG